CCAUUCCUACGGGGGGCAGCAGUGGGGAAUAUUGCACAAUGGGGGAAACCCUGAUGCAGCGACGCCGCGUGAGUGAAGAAGUAUUUCGGUAUGUAAAGCUCUAUCAGCAGGGAAGAAGAUGACGGUACCUGAGUAAGAAGCCCCGGCUAACUACGUGCCAGCAGCCGCGGUAAUACGUAGGGGGCAAGCGUUAUCCGGAUUUAAUGGGGGUAAAGGGAGCGUAGACGGCUGCGCAAGUCUGAAGUGAAAGCCCGGGGCUCAACCCCGGGAGUGCUUUGGAAACUGCGUAGCUAGAGUGAAGUAGA
RNAcentral lists this ribosomal RNA (305 nucleotides) under uncultured bacterium. Its description in RNAcentral is "bacterial SSU rRNA". It matches the Rfam family "Bacterial small subunit ribosomal RNA", at positions 333 to 655 of the family's 1533-position model. The record is from RNAcentral.